RNAcentral lists this unclassified non-coding RNA (755 nucleotides) under Hevea brasiliensis (rubber tree). The record is from RNAcentral. Lineage: Eukaryota; Viridiplantae; Streptophyta; Magnoliopsida; Malpighiales; Euphorbiaceae.
AGGACACUCAUAUUGUGGAACUCUGAGAGUAAAACUACAGCAGUAUGCCAUCAAAUUCCAAAAGCACAAAUCGGGAGGAAACCAAUGCAUAUAAUGUUCCACGUUCCACUGUAUAUCCUGAACCUUGGUGGAAUGGUGCUGUUUAUACUCCUGUUUCCCCUGGGUUGAUGCGGGAAAAUGCAUCAGAUUCAUCAUCAUUGGAACAAUCCGUGGAUGGCCAAUCUCAGUCUGAUGGUGGAAUCAAUGAGGAAGAUGAUGAUGCUCCUGAAAAAUCACAAAGUGUCGUACCUUUGCAUGCAGAUGGGAGUUAUGGGAAGGCGGAUCAGAAUUUUCAGCCAGCUGCUCCAGCCAUACCUCCAAGACUUGAUGGAAGCCUAGCACAGCCCCAGCAGCUUGAACUUGUUGGACACUCUAUUGCGUGUGCUCCAAACCCAUAUGUUGAUCCAUACUAUGGCGGGAUGAUGACAGCUUUUGGCCAGCCUUUGGUUCCUCCUCAUGUACUUGAUAUGCACUAUGCAAGGAUGCCCUUGCCACAAGAAAUGGCUCAAGAACCAGUUUAUGUUAAUGCUAAGCAGUAUCGAAGGAUCCUGCAGCGAAGACAGUCACGUGCUAAAGCAGAACUUGAAAAGAAGCAAAUAAAGGGUAGAAAGCCAUAUCUUCACGAGUCUCGACAUCAGCAUGCACUGAGGAGGGUAAGGGCCUCGGGUGGACGUUUUGCCAAAAAGACAGAUGCUUCUAAGGGUACUGGUUCUGUG